CAACUUCGUUUAUAAGAUCCCUCAAAGAUGAUGAGGUUAAUAGGUUCGAGGUGGAAGCGUAGCGAUACGUGGAGCUGACGAAUACUAAUCGAUCGAAGACUUAAUCAAUUU
This 111-nucleotide ribosomal RNA is filed under the name Staphylococcus agnetis. Its description in RNAcentral is "partial 23S ribosomal RNA". It matches the Rfam family "Bacterial large subunit ribosomal RNA", at positions 2815 to 2925 of the family's 2925-position model. Lineage: Bacteria; Bacillati; Bacillota; Bacilli; Caryophanales; Staphylococcaceae. The record is from RNAcentral.